AUGGCACCAUAUCAUGCUCCUCCGUCUGCCACGUGGGGAAUAGCAGUCUCUUUAUCUGUGUUUCAGAGUCAAGGGAUUUGUUUCACACCAUAUCUCUGUCAUGCAAUGGCUUCUUAUCAACAAAAGACAAAUUUAUUUUACAGGUUUGAAGCUUAUCUUGCUGGGGAUGUGAGAGAUUUUCUACACAAAAGGGCACCUAAAGAUGUUGAACUGAUCCGUACUGCAAGGCUCAUGCACGUUUUGGCUCAUGCAGAUAUCACAUGUGUUUCUUUCUGCAAAUUCUCACAUGUGUUGAACUGA
RNAcentral lists this ribosomal RNA (300 nucleotides) under Triticum aestivum (bread wheat). Its description in RNAcentral is "partial small subunit ribosomal RNA". Lineage: Eukaryota; Viridiplantae; Streptophyta; Magnoliopsida; Poales; Poaceae. The record is from RNAcentral.